Molecule: ribosomal RNA, 746 nt
Filed under: uncultured bacterium
Lineage: Bacteria
Description: bacterial SSU rRNA
Rfam family: Bacterial small subunit ribosomal RNA
Source: RNAcentral
GGUGAGUAAUACAUAGGUAACCUGCCCCUGUGCGGGGGAUAACAGGAGGAAACUCCUGCUAAUACCGCAUAGCCAUGAGCACCGCAUGGAGCUCAUGCCAAAUAUCCUUUCGGGGAUAGCGCAGGGAUGGACCUAUGGCGCAUUAGCUUGUUGGCGGGGCAACGGCCCACCAAGGCAACGAUGCGUAGCCGGCCUGAGAGGGCGGACGGCCACAUUGGGACUGAGACACGGCCCAGACUCCUACGGGAGGCAGCAGUAGGGAAUUUUCGGCAAUGGGGGAAACCCUGACCGAGCAACGCCGCGUGAGCGAAGAAGGCCUUCGGGUCGUAAAGCUCUGUUGUAAAGGAAGAACGGCGCAUACAGGAAAUGGUAUGCGAGUGACGGUACUUUACCAGAAAGCCACGGCUAACUACGUGCCAGCAGCCGCGGUAAUACGUAGGUGGCGAGCGUUAUCCGGAAUCAUUGGGCGUAAAGAGGGAGCAGGCGGCCGCAAGGGUCUGUGGUGAAAGACCGAAGCUAAACUUCGGUAAGCCAUGGAAACCGGGCGGCUAGAGUGCGGAAGAGGAUCGUGGAAUUCCAUGUGUAGCGGUGAAAUGCGUAGAUAUAUGGAGGAACACCAGUGGCGAAGGCGACGGUCUGGGCCGCAACUGACGCUCAUUCCCGAAAGCGUGGGGAGCAAAUAGGAUUAGAUACCCUAGUAGUCCACGCCGUAAACGAKGGUCACUAAGUGUCGGGGGUCAAACCCC